Molecule: long non-coding RNA, 4494 nt
Organism: Bombus impatiens (common eastern bumble bee)
Lineage: Eukaryota; Metazoa; Arthropoda; Insecta; Hymenoptera; Apidae
Exons: 3
Source: RefSeq, a predicted model, not a curated record
UCUCUGCUCGAAAAAAGCCCGCCACGAGCAGGCGAGCAUCGACGUUCUUCUCCGCUGCGAAGCGAUAUUACGUCCCUUUCUUGCAAUCAUCUCUCGUCAGACUUCUUCGUCUCAUUCAGAAUCCAUUUACACAUUUCCGUGGAAAAAAUCAUACUAGGAACGAACUUUGGAGAAUUUAAUUGGAACGUGUUCUCGACCGAAUCAGUCGGUCCCAGGAGAACUCGGGAGCGCACACUCCUGACGUUUCUUCCCCCGUCGUUUCAGUCAGCCGCGGGCAACCGUCGCGGUGUCACGUGUUUUCGUAUCGUCAUCGUGUAUACUUGCAAUUAACCAGCAAUUAACAAAAAUCAGCGGUAUCCAAUUUUACUUUGAAGAAUUAUUCGCUGUGAAAUUACUGCCACUUAACGAACGAUGUUAUCGAAUAAAGUUCAAUUAAACUUUAAAUAAACAUUUGGAAUAAAUUUCCAUAUAUAGACUGUAGAAUUUUCGUCGUCGCGAUUAAUAAAUUCGAAAGAGCUUCGUGCACGAUCGUUUUCUGUUUAUUCUUCUUCGCUCGCUCCUGUCUCCCCAUUGGACGGCUCGCUCGUGAUCGCCACGUGGUCGUGUCGCGAUCGAUCAGUGGUGCAUCCUAUAACCGGCCGAGAAGGAACGAGCACGACGUGGUGCCGCGAACCGGAGAUAAGCGAAGAGGAUCACUCGGAACUGGUGCUGCUAGGAAAACGUCCUGCCAGCCAGAACGUUCGCAUAUCGGGUGAUCGGUUGAUGCGAACGGAGAAGACCUGGACGGGCUGUUACGCACGAAAAGCCGAAAGUUAGACAUUAAACCUUCCACCUUUCGCGUUCGUUUGCACGACCUACAGGCACAGAUGCGUCGGCCGUUGUGCAGUGGGAAUGUUCUACAACCCUUGGAAAGACACUCUGGAACCGGUUCGAACGCCCGGAGACCGAUGUGCCGGUGCGUCGCUGCUCUCUCCAUCCGCCGCUUGUUUCGAGUCUGGCCUGGAUGAAUAUGACAAGGUCAUUUCUCUUGUUUAAUCCACGUAAUUAGUUUGCGCCUUUUCCCGCCCUCUGCCUGCCAUGCAAAUCGAUAACUUCUUUCUGUUGUUUUUUUAACCAGGCGACAUCACACAGCUUUGGUACUCGAAAACGAUUUCAGAACAGAAACUGUUAUCUUAGACCAUUCUUUUUUUUUUUUCAUAAACAAAUCCGUGUUUCAACAUUUGAAUGACGUACGUUGUUGCUAAAGUUCGACUAUUCAUUUCUUCUUGUUGUAACAAAUGAACACAUGGAAAUAAGUAAUUUGUUUUCGGAGCUUGAACAUUAAUCGUGUAUUUAUAUAAUGAAAUUGAGAAAUUCUGAUAAAAAGUGGAGUUGACCGGCACGACUUCUGAGCAGCUCAUUUAUUACCGGCAGUCUGGCAAUUGAAUUUCAGAUAAUUAAUAUAAAGCAACGUGUGCAUCGAUAGCAGCAAAUAUGUUAAACUUUAAGAGGUAUCGUUAUUCAAUCGAACAGUAGGCAAAUGAAAAUAUCGAUCCUUUUUGAGAUUGGAAUUUCGUUAAGAAACUCAUUACCGUUCACGACAAGCACGAAAACGUACUGUUCGAGAAGCUGGCCAAGAGGUCGAGGUAGCUUCGGCAAUGAAUUAAGGUCGCGACAUUAAUCCUGGUCGGGGUAGCGGCCAUGCUAUCACGACAUGUCGUAAAUAACCGCGGAGGGACGGUGGGCACGGGGCGGGACAGAGGGUAAAAAGAUUUCUAAAGAAAUGUAAAUUAAGGAAUAAAUUGAUCCGUGCUGCUCGGUACCAGCGACACUCGCCUCUAACUGGCCGCAACGAGUGGCUCCUUAAGCGGGCCGCGUGCGCCGCUUCUUGAAUGCGGUUCGAUCGAACGGUCACGCAAAAAAUUAAUUUCGUUACCUCGGCCCCGUGCACGCUUGUAGAUUGUGUCGCAUUGCGACGUAAUGGUCUCUGAUACAACGAUUGAUAAGCUUACAAGAUAACCUUUCUUCGAUAAGACUAACAGGCUUACUUGAUAUUCGAGUCUCUCCCUCUGAAAUGAAGCCUCGUCAUAAUAGAAGCAUAAAUAAAACGGCAGAAAGAAAAAAAGAAAAGAAAACAGGGGGGAAAAAGAAGAAGAAAUUCAUUAUUCACGAAACAACGAAAAAUGGACGAAACAACGCCAGCGGAUUUCCAGAGAGCGCCUUUUAGGGAUGAGAAGCACAGUCGGUACAGCAGGUAGCUGCAGCAGAAUCAUACUAGGUCACGUUUUCAUCAAGGCCUCAAGGUGCGGACGAGGAUCCGGGAAGAAAAGAGAGGAAAGGACGAGCGAAAAGAACGGGCAUACAGAUAGGGGUUGAACACACCAUUGUUUUUCGACACACUUUCUCUCGGCCUGGCCCUCUCGAAGACAAUGCGUGCCUUACUUUUAACCCUCUCUAUCGUGCUUAGUCCGAUGGCCAUCGCGACUCGUUCUUCUUUCUCCCUUGGCUGGUAUGUCGCUGUGCUCAUUAAGUAAAUCACCGUAAUGGUGGCUCAUCACCCGGGCCAAAGUGAAAAUUCACUCGCGGACAGGACUCGGGAUCUCGAUCCUCGAAGGAAUUCCUCUUCGUCGUUGUUUCGGCUUCCGGAAAUUCGAGCUGGAAAAAUUACAGCAACGCGUUCGCCAGUAGGGACGCUUUGUUCUUGCUCGUUGAAGUUCGCGUGUUUAAGACGUUCGUCGUGGAACCUUGUACGGUAUUUAUGUAUAAGGUGUCGCAGAAGUAUAGGUCGAUUAAGUAAUAGGCGAUGAAAAGAUGAGAUCUUAUUUUUUGUGUAUAUUGUUUGAUCUUGUAGUAUUUUUAGUAAAUGCGAUAGAAGCCUAUAAGAUUCAUAACUAAUUGCAGGAUUGAUUACAAUAGACUAAUCUAUCUUAAACCUUCUGUAUUAAAAAAUAAAACGAAAUCGUUUACUAGAAAAAAAAAAAAAAAAAAUGUUUCUUCAUCAUAUUUUGCUACAUCUUCCUCGAUUGACCAGUUGUUAUGAAACACUUUGUACCUUUGUAAGAAAGGUGACGCACGUACGAGGUGUGUAAGGGAAAAAGAAAGAAGAUACACGCGCGAUCUCUGUCGUAACGAGAUGGAGUGGCGGCCGGUGUGUGUUAAUGAGGUAAUGAGAAUAAUGUGCAUCGUCUGGUAGGAAUAUUAACGGCGGUCCGUCCUGGAAUUUUGUACGCAAUCUGUCUGCUUUCGAAGAAAGUAUCAUUUGCAGCGAAGCCGGAGAGAAAUAAUGAGCCGCGCCGUUGAUCGAUACCUCACCGCGCCGCUAACGAUGCAAUUUCGACGAAGUUAUAAACGACCGUGGCGAUCGAUCAAUGAGAUUGAAUUUUGCAACGGUCACGUUGAAAGGAUCGACCGCCGCCAAUGAAAUAAUACCGCUCGAUAGCUUGUAAAUAUUUCGAUACCCGGGCCCGACGUGACUUUUUGCUCUUCGAACUUUUCGUACUUUUCUUCUCGCUCCUUCUCCUCUUCUCUUCGCUUCCCGACCGACGUUAGCGUGUUUUCGCUUCUCCUCUCUUCUUUCCUCUUCCACUCUCUGUCACCCUCCUCUACCUUCCUACCUCACCUUCUGGAUUUGAUUGAAUUUUUUCCCGAGGAAGAAAUGUUUCCACCAAAUGAAUCCGUCGAAAUAUUGCAUUCCGACAAGCACGAUCCAAUUUUUCGUUUAAUAAAAGAGAGCUUUUCUCUUCGCAGACCUUUCAUUUCUUUCUCACGCCUUUUCCGUAACCUUCGCAGGACCGAAGGGCAGAGUUUAACCCUCGCCGCCGAAACCUUCGAUUUUCGAUCUUCCAUUGAUCGCGUUUACACUUUUCCCCAUUCCUGCAUCUUCUCUUCCCUUAAUUCUUCUUUACUAUCUUCCUAAUUUUCUCCUCCAACAGCAACAUCUACAAAGUUCGUUACACAAGCUCGACGAGGCACAGUGCGAAGAGUUCUUCAUCUGUUUCAGCGAAUAAGCGUUCAACGAUUAAUAAAAUAUAUUUAACAGAUCUUUGCGUGGAUCGUUUCUCUCUUUGUUCGUUUUCCCCUGGACGGUCAUCGAAAGUUACGAUACUCAACGACAUUUAAUCGCGCCGGUCAGACUGCAGCUGCGACGAAAUAAUUUUUUAUUAGUCGAUUCCACGCAGCUUCUACUUUUAAUUUACCCGUACAUUUUAAUAUUGCGUAUCGUUGCUUUGUGAGCUUGUAAAUACAGCCGUCUCUCUCCGCGGCAUCGUCCCAACCUAUACGCAACUUCGCCUCUAUCCUGCGGCGUGGAGGCAAAUAUGGACGAUGGUGUGGGACGAGAGGGUUGACAGGGUGAAGGGGAGGGGUGGACCAACCGGAUAGUACUGAAUAAAUAUAAACGAUAACCAAUAAUACCUGUAAAAUUAAUAAUAAUCAUGAUCGUAUCGACGGGGCUCGUUCUUGCGGCCCUCCUCGCCGCCCAUCAAUCACAUCAAAAAUUCUGGAUUGGUCGAUACG